ACGCUCGACACCUACGGGAGCAGCAGUUGGGAAUAUUGGACAAUGGAGGAAACUCUGAUCCAGUGACGCCGCGUGAAGGAAGAAGGUCUUCGGAUUGUAAACUUAUUUUGUCAGGGAAGAAAAAUGACUGUACCUGAAGAAAAAGCACCGGCUAACUACGUGCCAGCAGCCGCGGUAAUCUGAGCGGGCGUGGCAAGGC
This 199-nucleotide ribosomal RNA is filed under the name uncultured bacterium. RNAcentral's name for it is "partial 16S ribosomal RNA". It matches the Rfam family "Bacterial small subunit ribosomal RNA", at positions 328 to 538 of the family's 1533-position model. The record is from RNAcentral.